Molecule: ribosomal RNA, 457 nt
Filed under: uncultured bacterium
Lineage: Bacteria
Description: bacterial SSU rRNA
Rfam family: Bacterial small subunit ribosomal RNA
Source: RNAcentral
CAAGGGAGACAGGUGGUGCAUGGUUGUCGUCAGCUCGUGUCGUGAGAUGUUGGGUUAAGUCCCGCAACGAGCGCAACCCUUAUCAUUAGUUGCCAGCAGGUUAAGCUGGGCACUCUAAUGAGACUGCCGGUGAUAAACCGGAGGAAGGUGGGGAUGACGUCAAAUCAUCAUGCCCCUUAUAUCUUGGGCUACACACGUGCUACAAUGGUCGGUACAAAGAGAAGCGAAGGAGUGAUCUGGAGCAAAUCUUCAUAAACCGAUCCCAGUUCGGAUUGUAGGCUGCAACUCGCCUACAUGAAGUUGGAGUUGCUAGUAAUCGCGAAUCAGAACGUCGCGGUGAAUGCGUUCCCGGGUCUUGUACACACCGCCCGUCACACCAUGGAAGUUGGUAAUACCCAAAGUCGCUGAGCUAACCGUAAGGGGGCAGGCGCCUAAGGUAGGAUCAAUGACUGGGGUG